This 497-nucleotide ribosomal RNA is filed under the name uncultured bacterium. RNAcentral describes it as "partial 16S ribosomal RNA". It matches the Rfam family "Bacterial small subunit ribosomal RNA", at positions 28 to 507 of the family's 1533-position model. The record is from RNAcentral.
GAUGAACGCUGGCGGCGUGCCUAAUACAUGCCAGUCGAGCGAACAGACGAGGAGCUUGCUCCUCUGACGUUAGCGGCGGACGGGUGAGUAACACGUGGAUAACCUACCUAUAAGACUGGGAUAACUUCGGGAAACCGGAGCUAAUACCGGAUAAUAUAUUGAACCGCAUGGUUCAAUAGUGAAAGACGGUUUUGCUGUCACUUAUAGAUGGAUCCGUGCCGCAUUAGCUAGUUGGUAAGGUAACAGCUUACCAAGGCAACGAUGCGUAGCCGACCUGAGAGGGUGAUCGGCCACACUGGAACUGAGACACGGUCCAGACUCCUACGGGAGGCAGCAGUAGGGAAUCUUCCGCAAUGGGCGAAAGCCUGACGGAGCAACGCCGCGUGAGUGAUGAAGGUCUUCGGAUCGUAAAACUCUGUUAUUAGGGAAGAACAAAUGUGUAAGUAACUAUGCACGUCUUGACGGUACCUAAUCAGAAAGCCACGGCUAACUACGUG